UUCCUCCCAAAAAUUCCAUUCCAUUCUAUUGAAUAUCUUUCAAUCUCUCUCUAAAAAACUCUCAUUUUCUCUCUCUCUAAUUUCCCAUAUCUCUCUUUUUUCCAUCACAAUAAAAAGUCUCUCUGUCAAGAAUUCAUGUCGAAUUGAUAGCACCCUUCUCCUUUGGUGAUAACUCCUGCUCUUUAUACAGUUAGAAAUAUUGUUGUUACCGGAGAUAAUGUGCAAACUCAGGUAUUGUUUGGAUUUAGUUGUUAAAGAUGAUCUUUUUUUCUCAUUAACGGGCAAACCUUGUUGCUACAAAGUGUGCUAUAAGUCAUCGGGCAUUGCCAUGCCUUUUAAAACUUUUGACAAAUAAUUAUGGAAAGAGCAUCGAGGUGGUUACUUGUUCGACAAUCUCAAAUAUCACAGCAAGAAAUGAAGAGCAGAUACAAGUAUCAAUUUCGAACCUAAGGUUUUAUUUACGUUGAUUUGUAUAAUGAAAUGAUGGGUAAUGGUAUGAAUUUUACAGGCUAUAAUUGAAGCUAAUAUUAUUGCUCCUCUAGUUGAUUUGCUUCAAAAUGCUGAAUUUGAUAUUAAGGAACAAGCUGCAAAAGCCAUCUCAAAUGCUACAUCUGGUGGGACUCAUGAUCAGAUCAGAUUCCUUGUAAGUCAAGGUUGCAUCAAGCAAUUGUGUGAUCUUCUCUUCUACUUCGAUCCAGAGGUUUUUACAGUUUGCUUACAAGGGCUUGAAAAUAUUCUGAAGAAGGUCGAGAGAAUAUCAAGCAUUGUUGCAGAAGGUCGAGGGAAUAUCAAGCAUUGCCAGUAUUAUAAUGGCACCGAGAAUUAUGAAAAGGCUAUGGAAGUUCUCAAGACAUAUUGGUAUUAUAAUUAAUUGUGUGGUAACCAAUCACAGCUUUAAUUAUUGAAAUCACAAAGUUAAAAUUAAAAAUACAUUUAUGCCUCAAGCCUUCUUUACACUUUGCUGAUGUUAGUAUACAUCCAACCAUGUUUCCGAAGAAGUAAAUUUGUAGUAAAAGGAUUUUUUUAAUAAAAGGAAUUAAAAAAUUAUGGGUAAAUUAUUAAAA
Long non-coding RNA from Gossypium arboreum, 1064 nucleotides. RefSeq lists it as uncharacterized. The transcript has 4 exons. Lineage: Eukaryota; Viridiplantae; Streptophyta; Magnoliopsida; Malvales; Malvaceae. The record is from RefSeq and is a predicted model, not a curated record.